This 352-nucleotide unclassified non-coding RNA is filed under the name soil metagenome. RNAcentral's name for it is "partial contains 5.8S ribosomal RNA, internal transcribed spacer 2, and large subunit ribosomal RNA". The stretch from base 1 to 120 matches the Rfam family "5.8S ribosomal RNA", at positions 35 to 154 of the family's 154-position model. The record is from RNAcentral.
GAUGAAGAACGUAGUGAAAUGCGAUACGUAGUGUGAAUUGCAGAAUUCAGUGAAUCAUCGAAUCUUUGAACGCACAUUGCGCCCGCCAGUAUUCUGGCGGGCAUGCCUGUUCGAGCGUCAUUACAACCCUCAGGCCCCCGGGCCUGGCGUUGGGGAUCGGCGGAGCCCCCCGUGGGCACACGCCGUCCCCCAAAUACAGUGGCGGUCCCGCCGCAGCUUCCAUCGCGUAGUAGCUAACACCUCGCGACUGGAGAGCGGCGCGGCCACGCCGUAAAACACCCAACUCUUCUGAAGUUGACCUCGAAUCAGGUAGGAAUACCCGCUGAACUUAAGCAUAUCAAUAAGCGGAGGA